Molecule: non-coding RNA, 96 nt
Organism: Hypoxylon crocopeplum
Lineage: Eukaryota; Fungi; Ascomycota; Sordariomycetes; Xylariales; Hypoxylaceae
Source: the annotation of a GenBank genome assembly
GGCUUUGUGGUCUAGUGGUAGGAUUCUCGCUUUGGGUUGAAGUUACCUUCAUUUCAAACUUGCGAGAGGUCCCGGGUUCAAUCCCCGGCGAAGCCC